CCGAAGUUUCCCUCAGGAUAGCUGUAAUGCAUUUAGUUAAGGGGAGUAGAGAUAUGGGUAGAGGUGCAGGGAGCCUUCGGGUUCUCAACUUAUUUCCAAACUUCGAACCUCCUUGUUAGGCAUUUACCUAACUGGAAAUGCUUAAAUGAAUUAGCGUUACAAGUGGGCUCUGACCGGUAAGCGGUCAUGGCGAAAUGGGAUGAACCAUACGUCUGAAUAAGGUGCCGAAAUGUACUAUCACUGAUACCAUAAAGGGAGUCCAUGUAUUUAGACAGCAGGUCGGUGCCCCUAAAAGCAGGUAUCCGCUAAAGAGUGUGUUAAAACUCACCUGCCGAAUACUAGGGCCCCGAAAAUGAAUGGCGCAUAUAGUACUACCGAUCUCAGACAUCAGUUCUAUUGAACUGAGAGUAGGGGGAUGUGGACAUUUUUGUGAAGGUGCAAUGUGAGUUGGACUGGAAGAAUGUCUAUUACAGAUCCUAAUUGAAGUAGCGAUUAUCCAGGCUUGUAUCCUGGGGGCUGAUGAGGAGUAGGGUUUCUGGACAACUUAAACAGAUCCAGAGUUAGUCGAUCCUAAUCUCAAUAAUGGGAGAAAGGGAGUACAGUUGAUAUUCUGUAACUGACAACAGUUCGCGGCAACGCAUACUAUUUUUCUCCGCCAAUCUUAUACCGUUGGUAGGGAUCUCUUUCCUACAUGACAGUACUAAUACCCAGGGAAACUGGUCAUCAGGCGAACUGCGGCGUUCUGCUGGCAAAACAUAGCUUCGGUUAUGUCAAUGGCUAUUGGAUUGGUCCAUGAAGCGAAAAAUAGUUUACUGUGUCACUCGUACCGAUAACCGCAUCAGGUCUUCUAGGUAAGUAGCCUAUGGCCAUUGAGGCAUGAUAGUUCAGGGAAUUCGGCCAAUUAGAGCUGUAACUUCGGGAUAAAGCUUGGCUCUGAUGAAAAUCAAAACCGAUUGUUACGCGGAGAGCCCAACUGUUUAAUAAAAACGUAGUGUCGCGCUGUGGUAGUAUAGCCAGUGAACGCGACAUGAAUCCUGCUCAGUGCUGUGUCUGUUAAUAUGGUUCAAGCCAACGAAGCACCGGUAAAUAGCUGGGGUAACUAUGACUCUUAUCAAAGUAGCGAAAUACCUCGUCACUUAAUUAGUGACCUGCAUGAACGGAGCUAUGAGGUUCUCACUGUCCCAAACUGUCUCUCAGCGAACCAACUGUAGUGGGAACGGUCACUAGAUAUCCAGCGGGGAAAGAAGACCCUGUAGAGCUUCACUUUGGUCUAGUCUUGUAUAGUUCCUGCGGGGGUGUAGACUAGGUGGGAGAGCAAUCGAUUCUGAAAAACCACUACCCUGUUUGGAAUUAUGCUUACCUAUCACAAGGAAUAGGACUAGAUAGAAAGUUUGGCUGGGGCGGCACACCUUCGAAUGAGCAGCGAAGGUGUCCUAAGUUGAGCUCAUUGAGGACAGAAAUCUCACGUUGAGGAUAAGGCCAAAAGCUCAU
Trichomonas vaginalis G3 is the source of this 1491-nucleotide non-coding RNA. The record is from Rfam. Lineage: Eukaryota; Parabasalia; Trichomonadida; Trichomonadidae.